Schizosaccharomyces pombe (fission yeast) is the source of this 277-nucleotide non-coding RNA. Lineage: Eukaryota; Fungi; Ascomycota; Schizosaccharomycetes; Schizosaccharomycetales; Schizosaccharomycetaceae. The record is from the annotation of a GenBank genome assembly.
ACGCUAUACAUUGCACUCGUAAGAUAUCAUCGCUGGUACAUUAGUUGGUUUACACCAGUAGUUAAUCAAUAUUGAGUAUUAUGUUCAAUUGCAAUACUGUGAAUGAGAACAAACUCGUGUCUGUUGGCCAUUUGUAUAUCACCUACGUGUUGUACAAAGACUGGGUUAAAAGGGAAAGCAUAGAGCAGUCUAACGUCGCAUUUAUAUGUUUUCAAAAAGGCGUAGUUAAUGCAAUCAGCAAAUUGUGCCUAUUACUAUAGAUAUGGUAGCUUAAUAG